UUUUUACAAUUUUAUUUAUAACAAUAUCUGUGUUAUUUAGUUGUAAAGGAAUUCAGCAAAAAUUAUUAAAACGUUCACGUCCCCAAAAAGGGGCUGCCCGCUUUCCCUUCCUGGGUGUGGCCCACCUCCUUGGCGUCCCCAGGGGAGGGGAGGCUGGAGGAAUGUUUACCAGAGGAAGUCUCCAGCCCUGGGAACCUCGGUGGGGGCCCUGGAGACAGGGAGGGCCUGUCUGGGAGGGGGGUUGAGCAUGGCCAUCUCAUAGGUGCCCCUGGAGUUGGGGCUGGGGUUUGGGGUGGCCUCCCCCAAGAACUAAAACACUCCAUCCUUUCCCGCCUACCUCACCCAGAGCCACGUCUUCCAGACAGGGGCAGCAAAUAACUCUCCCUUCCCAGAAUUAGCCCUCAGGAAGCUGUGGGAGCGGGCAAGCAGGGAUGGGGCGAGAGGGGAGAGCCUUGGCAAAGUGUCUUAUACAGGGAGGGGAAGGCUGCACCACCAGCUCUCCCAGUGGGGUGCGUUCUGGUGGGAGGGUAGGAGGUGCAGCCCCAAGCCCUCCCUGCCUGUCUCCCUGAAGGCAGCAUGGGGGUGCCAAGGAGCAGGCAGGGAGGGGAUGGAGAAAUAAUACUGUGCUCGCUUGCCGGCUUGCUCGCUCACAUAUAAAAUGUAAUUCCUUCAUUUUUACAUUUAUACAUCCGGCGGGGCCAGGGAAGGGCUGGCUGGGGAGGGGCUCACUGAAGGACUUCACUGGUAGGGGGCAGAGGGCUUUCUGGGGGCAGUCCGACGGGGCAGGGCCCUAUGCCAAGGGGUCCCCUAUCUCGUCCUCAGGGCCGCGGCCCAGGAGUUCUCGCUUCUCGUCCGUGCUGGCCAGGGAGUGGCGACUGCCGUGGCCCCCCAUGUAGAGUGUGGCAUACACGGGGUUGGUGAAGUUGGUGGGCUGCAGGGUGACAGAGGGUUCAGGUAGGGCUCAGGAGCUGGGCCUGUAGCCCAGGUUACCCCACCCCCACCUCCGUCCCUCACCUAACCCAACACCUUUGGUUAGGCCACCCACGGCCUCUUGGCACUCGACCCUGCCCGCCUCCCAGCCCACCUUGUCAGGGUCCAGGGCAAAGUCAGCGUCCAGUAGGCCUCCCACAUCAUCAGGCUCUCCGCCUUCGUACAUCUUGUAGGUGGGGUUUCCAAUCUCCACGUUCAUGGCCCCGUUGGUCAUCCGUUGGUGCUGGAAGCCCUUAGCCCUGGGGAGAGGCAGGAGUAUAAGGAGACAGAGAUUAUUGGGGGGGAAGGCUAGGAUGGCAAAAUAAUGACCAGAAUGUUCCAGAUUCCCUGUGACUCACCCUUGGACUCGCCGCUUAUACCAGAAUACCACUCCGGCCACCAGAAGCAGCAGCAGCAGCAACAGCAGAGGGAUUAGGAUGGAGGCUAUAUCUGGAGGGAAGAGGUGGGACACUGAGUCACCAAGGCUCAGGGAAGCAGGAGGCACACGGUCCCCCUGCUCUAGGUCCCGGUGGCCCUGCCUGCCCCAACCCCUGCCACCUACGUCCUGGCUGCUGCUGGCUGAAGAUGUG
This 1559-nucleotide long non-coding RNA is filed under the name Pan troglodytes (chimpanzee). RNAcentral's name for it is "long non-coding RNA NONPTRT003424". The record is from RNAcentral. Lineage: Eukaryota; Metazoa; Chordata; Mammalia; Primates; Hominidae.